Long non-coding RNA from Syngnathus acus (greater pipefish), 431 nucleotides. RefSeq lists it as uncharacterized. Lineage: Eukaryota; Metazoa; Chordata; Actinopteri; Syngnathiformes; Syngnathidae. The transcript is spliced from 4 exons. The record is from RefSeq and is a predicted model, not a curated record.
AUGACUUUUCAUCUAGGUAGUCAUUGAGUGGAAGGAACGUGAACUGACGAGUCGACAACAGGCUACUACGAUGAACAACGCAAUCAAGCUGUUGAUCUUGGCUUUUGCUGUCGCCAUGCUGAUCACAACUGGUGACGCUCUGACAUGCACAGGCUGUUAUCCCGUUGUUGGACCGUGUACUCCACGCCCCGUAACAUGUGCAGCAGGCCAAGUCUGCAAAAUCGUACCAUGUGAUGUCUUCGGAGGCCAGCGCUGUGCGGAUCCGUGAAUGUGACGACAGACAAACCCCCAAUGCAAAAUGUCCCAAAAUGGACUUCUGCGACAUGGAAGGAUUUGUGGGGGUUGAAGAUCCAACCUAUCGUCUUGGUAGUUGAGUUGAGAAGCAUUAAAAAAUGUUGAAAAAAAUAAAUAAAAAGUGAUCAUCAAAUGAU